GCGCCAGUAGCUCAAUAGGAUAGAGCGUUGGCCUCCGGAGCCAAAGGUUGGGGGUUCGAUUCCCUCCUGGCGUA
This 74-nucleotide transfer RNA is filed under the name Candidatus Pacearchaeota archaeon. RNAcentral's name for it is "tRNA-Arg". It matches the Rfam family "tRNA". Rfam says of the family: Transfer RNA (tRNA) molecules are approximately 80 nucleotides in length. Their secondary structure includes four short double-helical elements and three loops (D, anti-codon, and T loops). RNAcentral also lists the same sequence under 1 other name. The record is from RNAcentral. Lineage: Archaea; Nanobdellati.